Molecule: ribosomal RNA, 397 nt
Filed under: uncultured bacterium
Lineage: Bacteria
Description: partial 16S ribosomal RNA
Rfam family: Bacterial small subunit ribosomal RNA
Source: RNAcentral
AUACGUAGGGGGCGAGCGUUGUCCGGAAUGAUUGGGCGUAAAGGGCGCGUAGGCGGCCCGGUAAGUCUGGAGUGAAAGUCCUGUUUUUGAGAUGGGAAUUGCUUUGGAUACUGUCGGGCUUGAGUGCAGGAGAGGUAAGUGGAAUUCCCAGUGUAGCGGUGAAAUGCGUAGAGAUUGGGAGGAACACCAGUGGCGAAGGCGACUUACUGGACUGUAACUGACGCUGAGGCGCGAAAGUGUGGGGAGCAAACAGGAUUAGAUACCCUGGUAGUCCACACUGUAAACGAUGAAUGCUAGGCGUAGGGGGUAUCGACCCCUUCUGUGCCGCAGUCAACACAAUAAGCAUUCCGCCUGGGGAGUACGGCCGCAAGGUUGAAACUCAAAUGAAUUGACGGGG